UACGUAGGGUGCGAGCGUUGUCCGGAAUUACUGGGCGUAAAGAGCUCGUAGGUGGUUUGUCGCGUUGUUCGUGAAAUCUCACGGCUUAACUGUGAGCGUGCGGGCGAUACGGGCAGACUGGAGUACUGCAGGGGAGACUGGAAUUCCUGGUGUAGCGGUGGAAUGCGCAGAUAUCAGGAGGAACACCGGUGGCGAAGGCGGGUCUCUGGGCAGUAACUGACGCUGAGGCGCGAAGGCCAGGGGAGCAAACGGG
RNAcentral lists this ribosomal RNA (253 nucleotides) under uncultured bacterium. RNAcentral's name for it is "partial 16S ribosomal RNA". It matches the Rfam family "Bacterial small subunit ribosomal RNA", at positions 524 to 776 of the family's 1533-position model. The record is from RNAcentral.